Molecule: non-coding RNA, 91 nt
Organism: Oryctolagus cuniculus (rabbit)
Lineage: Eukaryota; Metazoa; Chordata; Mammalia; Lagomorpha; Leporidae
Source: Rfam
GCUCCAGAGGCAGCUGGCAGCAUCUGGGCCUGAGGCUGAGUCCAGAGGUGGGGGUGGGAGCCCGGCCCACGAUGACUCAGCUCUCUUGGGA